Molecule: ribosomal RNA, 492 nt
Filed under: uncultured bacterium
Lineage: Bacteria
Description: partial 16S ribosomal RNA
Rfam family: Bacterial small subunit ribosomal RNA
Source: RNAcentral
GAUGAACGCUCGCUACAGGCUUAACACAUGCAAGUCGAGGGGAAACGGCAUUACGUGCUUGCACUUUUUGGACGUCGACCGGCGCACGGGUGAGUAACGCGUAUCCAACCUUCCCAUGACUAAGGGAUAACCUGCCGAAAGGCAGACUAAUACCUUAUGGUCUUCACUGACGGCAUCAGAUGUGAAGUAAAGAUUUAUCGGUUAUGGAUGGGGAUGCGUCUGAUUAGCUUGUUGGCGGGGUAACGGCCCACCAAGGCAACGAUCAGUAGGGGUUCUGAGAGGAAGGUCCCCCACAUUGGAACUGAGACACGGUCCAAACUCCUACGGGAGGCAGCAGUGAGGAAUAUUGGUCAAUGGGCGAGAGCCUGAACCAGCCAAGUAGCGUGCAGGAUGACGGCCCUAUGGGUUGUAAACUGCUUUUGUAUGGGGAUAAAGUCAAUCACGUGUGAUUGUUUGCAGGUACCAUACGAAUAAGAACCGGCUAAUUCCGUG